RNAcentral lists this ribosomal RNA (3724 nucleotides) under Thermotoga neapolitana. RNAcentral describes it as "bacterial LSU rRNA". It matches the Rfam family "Bacterial large subunit ribosomal RNA". Lineage: Bacteria; Thermotogati; Thermotogota; Thermotogae; Thermotogales; Thermotogaceae. The record is from RNAcentral.
GGUCAAGGUACUAAGGGCACGCGGUGGAUGCCUUGGCGGCGGGAGGCGAUGAAGGGCGUGGCAAGCUGCGAUAAGCCCGGGGGAGCCGCAAGCAGGCGUUGAUCCCGGGAUUCCCGAAUGGGGAAACCUGGGUGGCCGUUGAGGCCACUCGCCGCCGAAAGGCGGUGCGACACCGGGGGAAGUGAAACAUCUCAGUACCCCGAGGAAAAGAAAUCAACCGAGAUUCCCCUAGUAGCGGCGAGCGAACGGGGAGGAGCCCAAACCAGCGUGGUGCCAAAGCCCGUGGGCGUUGCCACGCUGGGGUUGCGGGACACGACCGGGCGAGGCCACGGACUCGCCGGGGAGUUACAAAUCCCUCCUCUAGCCGAACCACCUGGGAAGGUGGGCCGGAGAGGGUGACAGCCCCGUAGGCGAAAGGGGAGGGACUCCCUGGGUCGUGUUCCCGAGUACCACGGGACACGUGGAAUCCCGUGGGAAGCUGGGGGGACCACCCUCCAAGGCUAAAUACUACCCGCCGCCCGAUAGUGCACCAGUACCGUGAGGGAAAGGUGAAAAGCACCCCGGAAGGGGAGUGAAAGAGGACCUGAAACCGCGUGCCUACAAGAAGUCGGAGCCCCCAUUUGGGGGUGACGGCGUGCCUUUUGAUUAAUGAGCCCGCGAGUUGCCGUCGGUGGCGAGGUUAAGCCGAUUGAGGCGUAGCCGUAGCGAAAGCGAGUCCGAACAGGGCGUCUAGUCACCGGCGGCAGACCCGAAGCCGGGUGAGCUACCCCUGGGCAGGGUGAAGGUGGGUUAAAACCCACUGGAGGCCCGAACCGGUGGACAGUGAAAAGUCCUCGGAUGACCUGGGGGUAGGAGUGAAAAGCUAACCGAACCCGGUGAUAGCUGGUUCUCCCCGAAAUGCAUUGAGGUGCAGCCUCGGGUGGUCUGUGCAGGGGGUAGAGCACUGAUGGGGCUAGGGGGGUUUCCUCCGAACCCCGUCAAACUCCGAAUCCCUGCACACAAAGCCCGGGAGUGAGCCCGCGGGGGAUAAGCUCCGCGGACGAGAGGGGAACAACCCAGACCGCCGGCUAAGGGCCCGAAGAGGUGGCUAAGUGGUAAAGGAUGUGGGGCGCCUAAGACAGCUGGGAUGUUGGCUUAGAAGCAGCCAUCAUUUAAAGAGUGCGUAACAGCUCACCAGCCGAGGCGCCCUGCACCGAAAAUGUAACGGGGCUCAAGCCACCCCCCGAAGCCGCGGGUCAGUACCUCCGCUGGAGGUACUGGCGGUAGGGGAGCGUUCCGCUGUAGGGUGAAGGCGGACCCGCGAGGGCCGCUGGACGAGGCGGAAGUGAGAAUGCGGGCAUGAGUACGCGAGAGGAGGGUGAGAAUCCCUCCCCCCGUAAGCCCAAGGGUACCUGGGGAAGGGUCGUCCGCCCAGGGUUAGCCGGGACCCUAAGGUGAACCCGAAAGGGGUAGCCGAAGGGAAGCCGGUUAAUAUUCCGGCGCCACCUGCGGUCGAUGGUACGAGGGGUGACGCAGGAGGGUAGGCGCCGGGGGCAAGUGGCAUGCCCCUCCAAGCGGUUAGGGCGAUGACGGGCGUAGGUAAAUCCGCGCCCCGAGCCUGAGCCGUGAUGGGGAGGUCCCUUCGGGGACCAACGGCGCCGACCCCACACUGCCGAGAAAAACCUCGCGUACCGCUUGAGACCGUAGGUGCCCGUUCCGCAAACCGACACAGGUGGGCGGGCUGAGAAGGCUCAGGGGAGCGGGUUAACCCUCGCCAAGGAACUCGGCAAAUUGGCCCCGUAACUUCGGGAGAAGGGGUGCCGCGUUAGGGUGAACCCGGGGGAAGGGGCAACCCGGAAACCGGGGGAGCCCGAGGCGGUCGCAGUGACAAGGCCCUGGCGACUGUUUACCAAAAACACAGGUCUCUGCUAACUCGAAAAGAGGAAGUAUAGGGACUGACGCCUGCCCAGUGCCGGAAGGUUAAGGGGAGGGGUGAGGCUCCCCUUGUGGGAGCGUAGCUCCGACCCGAAGCCCCGGUAAACGGCGGCCGUAACUAUAACGGUCCUAAGGUAGCGUUCGCUGCCUGCCCACAGGGAAACCUGUGGGGCAAUACCCGGCUGUAUGCGGGGAAGCCCUUAGAGCCCUUCCUACCUGGGGGCUGCGGCCAGCCCAGGUAAAAAUGGAAGGGAUUGGGCAAUCCGCAGGAAACCCCGUUGAGGGGGGAUCCUCAGAGACUGUACGCCGGGCAUCCAGUCCCCGUGAGAAGGGGUGGAAAUCUUGGAUCUCAAGCCUGACUGGGUCGUUGGGUUCGUCGAUGGUGAAGGUUGUUUCUACGUUGGUGUCAGCAGAAAUCGCACCAUGAAAACGGGUUAUCAGGUUCUCCCCGAAUUCAGGAUCGUCCAGCACAAGCGUGACAUACAGGUUCUGUACGCACUGAGGAAGUUCUUCGGAUGCGGUGUUGUGCGGAAGAACCACGACGAUCGAUACGAACUAAGGAUCAGAAAAAGGUCGUGCUUGAAGAAAGUUGUAGAAUUCUUCGAAAAACAUCCUCUAAAGACGAAGAAAAACGUUGACUUCAAAAAAUUCAGAAGGAUUCUCAUAAUGAUGGAACGGGGAGAACAUCUCACAAAAGAAGGUCUCAUCAAGAUACUGGAAAUCGCCAUGGAAAUGAACACAGGAAACCACGAAAGGUUGAAACGAACCCUCGAAGAGAUCCGGGGACUGGAUGAAGAUACAGUCCACCCCCACUCCGAAAGGGUGGGAUAAGGGUGAGCGAAAUUCCUUGUCGGGUAAGUUCCGACCUGCAUGAAUGGCGUAACGACUGGGGCACUGUCUCGGCGGGGGGCCCGGCGAAAUUUCAGUCUGGGUGAAGAUGCCCAGUACCCGCGGCUAGACGGAAAGACCCCGUGGAGCUUUACUGCAGCCUGGUAUUGGGCUCUGGUGCAUCGUGUAUAGAAUAGGUGGGAGGCUGUGAAGCCGCCUCGCCAGGGGCGGUGGAGCCGCCAGUGGAAUACCACCCUCGGUGCACUGGAGUCCUAACCUGACCCUGUGAAGAGCAGGGUGGGGACAGUGCCAGGUGGGCAGUUUGACUGGGGCGGUCACCUCCUAAAGAGUAACGGAGGUGCGCAAAGGUCGGCUCAGGUGGGUUGGAAAUCCACCGUAGAGUGCAAGGGCAUAAGCCGGCCUGACUGCGAGGCCGACAGGCCGAGCAGGGGGGAAACCCGGCCCUAGUGACCCGGCGGCCCCGUGUGGAAGGGCCGUCGAUCAACGGAUAAAAGUUACCCCGGGGAUAACAGGCUGGUCCCGCCCGAGAGUUCACAUCGACGGCGGGGUUCGGCACCUCGAUGUCGGCUCAUCCCAUCCUGGGGCUGAAGCAGGUCCCAAGGGUUGGGCUGUUCGCCCAUUAAAGGGGUACGUGAGCUGGGUUCAGACCGUCGUGAGACAGGUCGGUCCCUAUCUGCCGCGGGCGUAGGAGGCUUGAGGGGGGUCCUCCCUUGUACGAGAGGACCGGGAGGAGGGGGCCUCUGGUGUACCGGCUGUCGCGCCAGCGGCAUACGCCGGGUAGCUAUGCCCCUAAGCGAUAACCGCUGAAAGCAUCUAAGCGGGAAGCGCGCCCCAAGAUUAGGCCUCCCAUCCCGUUAAGGGAGUAAGGCCGGUCCGAGAAGAGGACCUUGAUAGGCCGGGGGUGUAAGCGCCGCAAGGCGUUGAGCCCACCGGUACUAAUCGGCCGAGGCCUUGACCUCCG